CCCUUGUCCACUAGAGGCAAGGUGCCCCCUGACCCCUUCUUCCAAAUAUACGCUUUUGUCUUUUAUUCCUGCAUUCGCCCGCUUUGUUCAGUCCCCCUAGGUCCAUGUGGGUUACAUAGUGGCGCCGCAGAACAGGGACUUCAAGGACGUAAACGAAGAAGGUCUGCUGGAGCAGAGGAACUGAAAUUGAGAAGGUGAACGGGGACCCCAGGCCGAGUCUGCCGACAGGGAUAUAAGGAGAUGGACAAGCCGUGUGGGUGCCCUCAAGGUGUGUGCAACCAUGGAAUGGGAGACUGGAGGAACCCAGGGUGGCCAACCAUGGGUCCGGUCCCUCUGGUGUGAGCCAUGAGCCAGCUGAGCCUGAGUGCGAAGACGGAGAGAAGGCCGACCACAGUCAUGACAUCAACCCCCAUAACCUGGGGACAACUCAAGAAAACCACACAGGAGGCUGAGAAACUACUGGAGCACCAGGGACAGUCUGUAAAGUUGGAUGGACCAUCAAUGGGAAAAUGAGAGCUGCCCACCCUGGCCUUACACUCCUUCAAUUAAUACAUAAACAGAAAGGAGGAUAUACAGAGAGCCAAAGGCCCAUGGGACGUGACCAACAUUCCACUGAGUCUAUACGAUCAAACAGCAAACUGUUUAUCAUGAAUACAGAAUGUGGGCAAACUCAUGACUGUGCCUGCCCCAGAAGGUUUGCUGAGGGCAAUUGCUUCCUGACGCCAAGCUCCUUGAGGUUAUCUAUUGGGACAUCCAGAGAAUGCAGUCUUGCAAGCCUACUCUGGACCGAGCAGCUGACCCCCUCUUCCACUUCCCUUCACACUAUCUCUUUUGCCUAAUAAAUACGGAAGGCUGUGUACAAGGUCAGGUCCCUUGUCCACUAGAGGCAAGGUGCUUCCUGACCCUUCUUCCAAAUAUACUCUUUUGUCUUUGUCUUUUAUUCCCGCAUUUGCCUCCUUUGUUCAGUUCCCCUAGGUCCUUGCAGGUUACAAAUGGGCAAGCAACUGGCUGGUUUGGAAGGGACUUCUGGGCUGGGAUAAGAAGAAGCAUAGUGCAGGACUCAGGAAUGGGAUUAGGGAAGGAGUGUUCUGGGCGGAGGGAACAAGUGGAGCGGGCCUGGUUUGGGGCUCAUUUGGCUGAAGGGGCAGAGGAAAAGUUAAGGAGGAAGGGGCACGCUGGUCGGUGUAGGCUGUGGAGGGGACUGCUGAUUGUGAUUGUAUUCUCAGAGUGGUGGGGGCCAUUGAACAUUUUAAAGAGGGCAGCAACAUGAUCAUUCAUUCUGGCUGCUUUGUGGGAAAUGCCUUCCAGGGAUUAAGAGUGGAAGAAGGAAGAUGACGACAAUCCAGACCAGAGAUGAAGGUGGCUUGAGGGCGGCUUGGCCACGGCUGUGCUGUCCCACAUGGAAGCCAUUGGCCAAUUAGCUAUGAGCACUUGGAAUGUGGCUGGUCUGAAUGGAGAUGUGCUGUGAGUGUAAAAUACAGACUGAAUUUUAAAGGCUUAGUACAGAAACAAGAACAUCAGAUAUCACACGGAUAAUUUUU
Molecule: long non-coding RNA, 1541 nt
Filed under: Homo sapiens (human)
Lineage: Eukaryota; Metazoa; Chordata; Mammalia; Primates; Hominidae
Description: non-protein coding lnc-SMOC1-1:1
Source: RNAcentral